Molecule: long non-coding RNA, 344 nt
Filed under: Helianthus annuus (common sunflower)
Lineage: Eukaryota; Viridiplantae; Streptophyta; Magnoliopsida; Asterales; Asteraceae
Description: hypothetical non coding rna
Source: RNAcentral
UUCAUACCUGAGAAUAAUCGGGUCAAACUUUCGUUCUUGGACCUUUUGUACCGAUUGAUUCUGUGAUCCCUCUAGCUUUGCUUGGUUGUUGUUCAAGACUUCUAAGCACCCUCAAGUGAGUACAUAGACCCCUAUUUUACUGUUUUCCAAACAUUUUGGGGUGAAACACAUGUGCCUACUUGUUACUUUCGUACAAUAGUUGGUGAUAUAUGAUGAUGAUAUUGGUGAAUGCUCACAUAGGAAUGGACGAGGCCUUAGUGACAUUAAAAGAUGCAAGACUAGUUAAUUAUGUUAUGUUUCUUUGUUGUUAAGACAUUGUAACUCAUUUAAUUCAAUAAAACGAA